Small nuclear RNA from Ailuropoda melanoleuca (giant panda), 108 nucleotides. The record is from Ensembl. Lineage: Eukaryota; Metazoa; Chordata; Mammalia; Carnivora; Ursidae.
GUGCUCACUUCAGCAGCACAUAUACUAAAAUUAGAACGAAACAGAGAUGUUUAGCUUGGCCCCCGUGUAAAAGAUGACACACAGAUUUGUCAAAUUUGUGAAGUGUUC